GAUGAACGCUGGCGGCGUGCUUAACACAUGCCAGUCGAACGGUGAAAGAGAGCUUGCUCUCUGGAUCAGUGGCGAACGGGUGAGUAACACGUGAGCAAUCUGCCCCUGACUCUGGGAUAAGCGCUGGAAACGGCGUCUAAUACCGGAUACGAGCUGCGAAGGCAUCUUCAGCAGCUGGAAAGAACUUCGGUCAGGGAUGAGCUCGCGGCCUAUCAGCUAGUUGGUGAGGUAACGGCUCACCAAGGCGUCGACGGGUAGCCGGCCUGAGAGGGUGACCGGCCACACUGGGACUGAGACACGGCCCAGACUCCUACGGGAGGCAGCAGUGGGGAAUAUUGCACAAUGGGCGAAAGCCUGAUGCAGCAACGCCGCGUGAGGGACGACGGCCUUCGGGUUGUAAACCUCUUUUAGCAGGGAAGAAGCGAAAGUGACGGUACCUGCAGAAAAAGCACCGGCUAACUACGUG
This 466-nucleotide ribosomal RNA is filed under the name uncultured bacterium. RNAcentral describes it as "partial 16S ribosomal RNA". It matches the Rfam family "Bacterial small subunit ribosomal RNA", at positions 28 to 507 of the family's 1533-position model. The record is from RNAcentral.